UACGUAGGGGGCAAGCGUUGUCCGGAAUUAUUGGGCGUAAAGAGCGCGUAGGCGGUCCGAUAAGUCGGUUGUGAAAGUCAGGGGCUCAACCCUUGAAAGCCGGCCGAUACUGUCGGACUAGAGUCCGGAAGAGGCAAGUGGAAUUCCCGGUGUAGCGGUGAAAUGCGCAGAUAUCGGGAGGAACACCAAUGGCGAAGGCAGCUUGCUGGGACGGUACUGACGCUGAGACGCGAAAGCGUGGGGAGCGAACAGG
RNAcentral lists this ribosomal RNA (253 nucleotides) under uncultured bacterium. Its description in RNAcentral is "partial 16S ribosomal RNA". It matches the Rfam family "Bacterial small subunit ribosomal RNA", at positions 524 to 776 of the family's 1533-position model. The record is from RNAcentral.